RNAcentral lists this ribosomal RNA (341 nucleotides) under uncultured bacterium. RNAcentral's name for it is "bacterial SSU rRNA". It matches the Rfam family "Bacterial small subunit ribosomal RNA", at positions 29 to 402 of the family's 1533-position model. The record is from RNAcentral.
AGCGAACGCUGGCGGCAGGCUUAACACAUGCAAGUCGAACGCCAUCUUCGGAUGGAGUGGCAGACGGGUGAGUAACGCGUGGGAACGUACCCUUUGGUUCGGAAUAUUCUCGGGAAACUGAGAGCAAUACCGGAUAAGCCCUACGGGGAAAGAUUAUCGCCAAAGGAGCGGCCCGCGUCAGAUUAGGUAGUUGGUGGGGUAAAGGCCUACCAAGCCUACGAUCUGUAGCUGGUCUGAGAGGAUGAUCAGCCACACUGGGACUGAGACACGGCCCAGAUCCUACGGGAGGCAGCAUGGGAAUCUUGGACAAUGGGCGCAAGCCUGAUCCAGCCAUGCCGCGU